RNAcentral lists this ribosomal RNA (407 nucleotides) under bacterium. RNAcentral's name for it is "partial 16S ribosomal RNA". It matches the Rfam family "Bacterial small subunit ribosomal RNA", at positions 355 to 776 of the family's 1533-position model. The record is from RNAcentral.
UGGGGAAUAUUGCACAAUGGGCGAAAGCCUGAUGCAGCGACGCCGCGUGAGGGAUGACGGCCUUCGGGUUGUAAACCUCUUUCAGCAGGGACGAAGCGCAAGUGACGGUACCUGCAGAAGAAGCACCGGCUAACUACGUGCCAGCAGCCGCGGUAAUACGUAGGGUGCAAGCGUUGUCCGGAAUUACUGGGCGUAGAGUUCGUAGGCGGUUUGUCGCGUCGUUUGUGAAAACCAGCAGCUCAACUGCUGGCUUGCAGGCGAUACGGGCAGACUUGAGUACUGCAGGGGAGACUGGAAUUCCUGGUGUAGCGGUGAAAUGCGCAGAUAUCAGGAGGAACACCGGUGGCGAAGGCGGGUCUCUGGGCAGUAACUGACGCUGAGGAACGAAAGCGUGGGUAGCGAACAGG